Molecule: small nucleolar RNA, 130 nt
Organism: Danio aesculapii
Lineage: Eukaryota; Metazoa; Chordata; Actinopteri; Cypriniformes; Danionidae
Product: small nucleolar RNA SNORA77
Exons: 1
Source: RefSeq, a predicted model, not a curated record
GCAGACUCACUCUGUGUAAGGCUGAUACCUCCAGCCUUAGACUUUUUCUGUCUGCUACAUUAACAUGAAGAGUGCUACAAACCGCCUUGCCUGUCACUUGGCAGGUGACUGUACCUUCUCAGACAUUUAU